This is a non-coding RNA of Podarcis lilfordi (Lilford's wall lizard), 81 nucleotides long. NCBI's taxonomy places the organism in Eukaryota, Metazoa, Chordata, Lepidosauria, Squamata, Lacertidae. The record is from the annotation of a GenBank genome assembly.
GGGGGUGCGGGACUGUUAGCUCAGUGGUAAAGCACUUGUUUUCCAUGCGGAAGGCUCCAGAUUCAAUCCCUGGCCUCUCCA